Non-coding RNA from Leptonychotes weddellii (Weddell seal), 525 nucleotides. The record is from RefSeq and is a predicted model, not a curated record. NCBI's taxonomy places the organism in Eukaryota, Metazoa, Chordata, Mammalia, Carnivora, Phocidae.
ACCCUCAGGUCGGCUCGACCGCCUAUCGCAGUAGCAGUACAACUCUGUGACGUGCCUGGCAUAAUCCUACGUCAUGGCCUGUAUUUGCUCAGUUAUUUUUUGACUUCAUACCAUAGCCUGUCCUACGACUGCACAACUCCCUUGUGCCAAGAACCGGUCCUCGGCAAUCUGAUGUGGUCACUGCACUCAAAUAAAAAUGCCCCUUUAACUGAGGGGCAUAGAAAGCAAGACAGACAGACAUCACUGCCGCAGAAUUGUGAAGUGCAGACACAGGACAGGAAACGCUGGUUGUUGAUGCUCAUGACAGCUAAGCUAAAUUCACCUACAACUGCAAGAAAAGUGGAAGGACUCACUCCGUAAUCUUCUUCCUUGUCUAUAAAGACAACAAUCCCGCCUACCCUACUGGGGCUAAGGUGGAAUGCAACUGUAUGUGGAAAAACACUACAAAGUGCUGCGACUAGCUCCCACUGGACCGGCACCAUCUUUAAUGGCCUCACUCAUAUCCAUCCAAACCUCCAAACGCAG